AUCAUUGUCAACUUGUCAAUCCUAUCACCUUGGUAAAAUGACCAGAUCGUAUUUUGUUGGAAAAAGUGAUCAAGCUAAUGAUGUUCUAAGUCUAAUACAUACUGAUGUAUUGGAUCUACGAUCAUAUUUGUCAUAAAUUUAGAUUAUUUAAAAUAUUUAAAUAAUUUUAUAAAAAAUUAGAUAAACAAGCUGAGAAGAGUAUUGAAACUUUUUGGUCAGACCAAGAGGAGAAUACUUUUCUAGUGAAUUUAUGACAUAUCUAGA
RNAcentral lists this long non-coding RNA (264 nucleotides) under Elaeis guineensis (African oil palm). RNAcentral describes it as "long non-coding RNA (EGUI_LNC017432)". Lineage: Eukaryota; Viridiplantae; Streptophyta; Magnoliopsida; Arecales; Arecaceae. The record is from RNAcentral.